AGAGCGAACGCUGGCGGCAGGCCUAACACAUGCAAGUCGAGCGCCCGUAGCAAUACGGGAGCGGCAGACGGGAUAGUAACACGUGGGAACGCGCCCUUCGGUUCGGAAUAACUCAGGGAAACUUGAGCUAAUACCGGAUACGCCCUUACGGGGAAAGAUUUAUUGCCGAAGGAACGGCCCGCGUCCGAUUAGCUAGUUGGUGAGGUAAUGGCUCACCAAGGCGACGAUCGGUAGCUGGUCUGAGAGGAUGACCAGCAUCACUGGGACUGAGACACGGCCCAGACUCCUACGGGAGGCAGCAGUGGGGAAUAUUGGACAAUGGGCGCAAGCCUGAUCCAGCCAUGCCGCGUGGAUGAUGAAGGCCUUAGGGUUGUAAGUCCUUUUAACGGGAAGAUAAUGACGGUACCCGUAGAAUAAGCCCGGCUAACUUCGCGCCAGCAGCCGC
This 445-nucleotide ribosomal RNA is filed under the name uncultured bacterium. RNAcentral describes it as "SSU rRNA". It matches the Rfam family "Bacterial small subunit ribosomal RNA", at positions 26 to 518 of the family's 1533-position model. The record is from RNAcentral.